GAGANGGAGAGUAGCUACACACGUGCUACAAUGGGCAGAACAAAGGGCAGCGAAACCGCGAGGUUAAGCCAAUCCCACAAAUCUGUUCUCAGUUCGGAUCGCAGUCUGCAACUCGACUGCGUGAAGCUGGAAUCGCUAGUAAUCGCGGAUCAGCAUGCCGCGGUGAAUACGUUCCCGGGCCUUGUACACACCGCCCGUCACACCACGAGAGUUUGUAACACCCGAAGUCGGUGAGGUAACCUUUUAGGAGCCAGCCGCCGAAGGUGGGACAGAUGAUUGGGGUGAAGUCGUAACAAGGUAG
RNAcentral lists this ribosomal RNA (301 nucleotides) under Bacillus subtilis. RNAcentral's name for it is "bacterial SSU rRNA". It matches the Rfam family "Bacterial small subunit ribosomal RNA", at positions 956 to 1499 of the family's 1533-position model. Lineage: Bacteria; Bacillati; Bacillota; Bacilli; Caryophanales; Bacillaceae. The record is from RNAcentral.